Molecule: long non-coding RNA, 2244 nt
Filed under: Paramuricea clavata
Lineage: Eukaryota; Metazoa; Cnidaria; Anthozoa; Malacalcyonacea; Plexauridae
Source: RNAcentral
CAGAUUUAUGACGUAUUUUGACGUCACAGAAAUUUUAAAAAAUAACAUACUCCAGAUCGCGAUUUGACUUUCCGAAUACCCGGGUUGAGACUCACGAACACCACCAUGGACUAUUACUAUUUGUAAAUAACAUCACUUCGUGCUGUUGUAAAUUUUGAUUCCAGCUUGCUGCAAAUUUUAUGUCUGGCUGUUUAUCGAAAUAUUAUUUUACGUCUGGCUGUUUAUCGAAAAUAUUGAAGGUAAGAUGAAAGUUUGAUUACAAGUGACAACGUAUUUUUGUCGAAUUAUUUUACCCAUUGAAGCGAAUGAAUCAACUGUAAUCUGUAUAGGGUAUAUAACUAUUAACUCAACCAGGAACGAAAACAUCGAAAUGACAUAUAGUGUCGUAUAGUCUUGUAUAACGUUGUAUAGUGUUGUUUAAUCUCUAUAGUCUUGUUAAAUAGUCGUCUAUAGUGUAGUAUAGCGUUGUAUAGUCUUGCAUAGUGUCAUAUAGUCUUGUAUAACGUUGUAUAGUGUCGUAAAGUGUCGUAUAUCCUUAUGUAUUGUUGUAUCGUCUUCUAUCACGUUGUAUGGUGUCGUAUGGUGCCGUAUCUAGUCUUGUAUACUGUUGUAUAAUGUUGCAUAGUGUCGUUUAGUGUCAUAUAGCCUUAUAUAGUGUUGUAUAGUCUUGUAUAACAUUGUAUAGUGUUGUAUAGCUUUAUAUAUUUAUUUAUUUAAUUAUUUCGCCCAAAUUUAACAUUGAUUAUUAAUUAAUAUUAGUUACAAAUGAGGGCUAGAGGCCUACUAGAAACCAUCAGGCUUUUGUUUAAGGCCCCUAGUGUAAUCAAUUAUAUAUAAUCUAUUGUUAUUAUAUAUAAUCAAUUAUAUAUAAUAUAUUGUUAUAUAGUCUUGUAUAACGUUGUGUAGUGUUGUAUAGUCUGUCAUGUACAAUCUGUAUAGUGUCGUAAUUUUGAUAGUCUUGUAUAACAAUGUAUAGUGUUGUAUAGUGUCGUAUAACCUUUUAUAUUGUUGUAUAGUUUUGUAUAACGUUGUAUAGUGUCAUAUUGUGUCGUAUAGCCUUUAUAUGUUGUUAUAUAGUCUUGUAUAACGUUAUAUAGUGUUGUAUAGUGUCGUAUAGCCUUGUAUAUUAUUGUGUAGUGUCGUAAGUGUUGUAUACUCCUGUAUAGUGUCGUAUAGUCUUGUAUAGCCUUAUAUACAGUAGUGUUGUAUAGUCUUUUAUAACAUUGGAUAGUGUUGUAUAGCCUUGUAUAGUGUCAUAAGAUCAUUAAUAAGUUCACCUGCUUACAAGAUAUGUAGCUUUUAACAGUUUUUUUGUAAAAAAAACAUUAUACAGACAGACAGGAUAUAUAAUAGUGUUAUGCGCUUCCAUUAUUAAUAGUGUUAUGGUAUAGACGUAUAAUAGUAAUGUUAUGGUAUACAUAAUAAUGUUAUAUUUCCAUUGUUAAUAGAAUAAACAGUCCUUGGGUUUUGUGCAUUAUAUUUAUCCAUUAUUAAUAGUGUUAUUAACUGUUAGUCAUUCCAGGUUAUUACUCUAGAGGUGACCACGCUUGACUUUGUGUCUAAGAAUAUUAGUGACAUUAACCUUAGUGACAAUCGCAUAAUAGCUAAAUGUGUGGAGGUAGCCCUGCGGGUCACAUUAUAGAUAUAUUGUCGGAGAAAUAAGCCGUGGAAUGACCCAUAAUUUGUUCAUUUUUAUGAGCUACUAUCGUUUGGAGUGCUCAGAAAAUGACCUGUUUCAUUACAGAGAACUGUUUUCUUAAUUUUAGAUAAUUAGAAUAUUGUUGUAACAUAUAUGCACGCGAUUCUUACAGUACAAUAAAAUACGAUUUUUAUUGUUUAAAAACUAUAAUUGUAGUGUUAUGUUUCCAUUCUAGUGUUAUUUAGCUUUGUAUUAUCCACGGAUUAUAAACAGAUUUUGAACAACCUAACUCAAAGUUUUGGCCGUGAGGCAGCAUUUCCUUGCGUUAGUAACUUCUAGUACGAGUAUUAAUUACCAAAUAUUCUCUCGAUGUUGCUGUGCCAUUCUCUUCCAAGUACUUUAAGUUUCACCAAAAGAUGUCCAGUAAGAGCGUUGUCAAAUGCAGAACUAUGCCUAUUACAAGACGCUUGUCGAUUUUAUACAGACGCUCGUUAAAUCAAACAACCAAUCAUAGUAAGCCAACAUUAAUCCCUCCAUUGUAUCAUAAACGUGGGCGACGCUAAAAAAUGCGUAGUCAGCAAGUUUCGCCCGAUCGUGUUUAAACC